Molecule: ribosomal RNA, 439 nt
Filed under: uncultured bacterium
Lineage: Bacteria
Description: partial 16S ribosomal RNA
Rfam family: Bacterial small subunit ribosomal RNA
Source: RNAcentral
CUACGGGGGGCUCCAGUGGGGAAUAUUGCACAAUGGAGGAAACUCUGAUGCAGCAACGCCGCGUGGAGGAUGACACUUUUUGGAGCGUAAACUCCUUUUAUAUAGGAAGAAGAUGACGGUACUAUAUGAAUAAGCGCCGGCUAACUCCGUGCCAGCAGCCGCGGUAAUACGGAGGGCGCAAGCGUUACUCGGAAUCACUGGGCGUAAAGAGCGUGUAGGCGGAUUAAAAAGUCAGAAGUGAAAUCCUAUAGCUUAACUAUAGAACUGCUUCUGAAACUCUUAAUCUAGAAUAUGGGAGAGGUAGAUGGAAUUUCUGGUGUAGGGGUAAAAUCCGUAGAGAUCAGAAGGAAUACCGAUUGCGAAGGCGAUCUACUAGAACAUUAUUGACGCUGAGACGCGAAAGCGUGGGGAGCAAACAGGAUUAGAUACCCGAGUAGUC